GCUCUUUCCUGCAUCCCACACAAAAGACCAACAGACGCCUUCGAGAAAUAUGUGUGUGUGUGUGUGUCCAGAUGCCAUGCAUGGGAUCAGUGAAUUCUCCAUCCAGAUGAUCCAUAUAGCAACCUGUCAUGGUAGCAGUGUACAGCAUGUUUAGAGGUAAACACAGCAUACAUGAAACCUAUGGCUAAAACAGAAUAGCUAGCUAUCCAAGACAUCUGUUAUGAUGCAAUAGGUCUCAGUUAAGAACACAUGAACCCACUGCACUCAAAUGUAAUGUUUUCAUUAAGUAGGAAGUAUGAAAAAUGCUUACAAACUAUGAAGUAUGUUUACUAAGUAUGAAGUUUGCUUACUAAAUAUGAAGUAUGAUCACGAAGUAGAAAGUACGCUUACUUGAAGUAUGCUUAUUGAAGAUUUUACUGUAUGUGUGCUGUAUUUUGCUCUAUUUACAGUAUGUUGUAUUUAGCUUUAUCUAUGUUUACUCAACAGAGUUGUAUCUAUGCUUUCAUGUACAAUGUGAGAUCUUUUGUACCAAACAGUCAGCAUCAACUGCCCCCACAAAUGGCCGCUGUAUUCUACUCAGGCAUUAACAGAGACGACUGCACAUUGAUGCUACUGUACAUGCGGAGUCAGCCAACAUUCCACACCCCAGCCAGGACCCGCCUGCUGCCCUUUUAUGGGUUGAAGCUGCAUGGUCGGGCAUCAUGGGUGCUGCAUUGUAUAUCAGAAAAAAACAUCUCUAGGUUAAUUUCUUAUGCUACUCAAAACCAAGAAAAAGUAGAAUGAUAGGAAGGUAGAUGGACUGGCUACUCAAAAGCUAGAAGUAUGUAAAAACAUAGGAUGAUUGAUGUAGGGAAGAACGAUACAGUACGAUAGAUUUGGGAAAGAGAGAAGGAUAGGAGGAUAGAUGGAGGCAAAGAGGACAAGAAAAUAGGUCAGGAGGAUAGAUGGAGGGAAGGAUAGGAGGAUAGAUGGAGGGAAGGUUAGGAGGAUAGAUGGAGGGAAGGUUAGGAGGAUAGAUGGAGGGAAGGUUAGGAGGAUAGAUGGAGGGAAGGAUAGGAGGAUAGAUGGAGGGAAGGAAGGUUAGGGAGAUAGAUGGAGGGAGGGAAGGUUAGGAGGAUAGAUGGAGGGACGAUCAAGAGGAUAGAUGGAGGGAAGGUUAGGAGGAUAGAUGGAGGGAAGGUUAGGAGGAUAGAUUGAGGGAAGGUUAGGAGGAUAGAUGGAGGGACGAUCAAGAGGAUAAAUGGAGGGAAGGUUAGGAGGAUAUAUUGAGGGAAGGUUAGGAGGAUAGAUGGAGGGAGGGAAGGUUAGGAGGAUAGAUGGAGGGAAAGUUAGGAGGAUAGAUGGAGGGAAGGUUAGGAGGAUAGAUGGAGGGAGGGAAGGUUAGGAGGAUAGAUGGAGGGAUGAUCAAGAGGAUAGAUGGAGGGAAGGUUAGGAGGAUAGAUGGAGGGAAGGUCAGGAGGAUAGAUGAGGGAUGGUUAGGAGGAUAGAUUGAGGGAAGGUUAGGAGGAUAGAUUGAGGGAAGGUUAGGAGGAUAGAUGGAAGGAGGGAAGGUUAGGAGGAUAGAUGGAGGGACGAUCAAGAGGAUAGAUGGAGGGAAGGUUAGGAGGAUAGAUGGAGGGAAGGUCAAGUGGAUAGAUGGAGGGAAGGUCAAGUGGAUAGAUGGAGGGAAGGUCAAGAGGAUAGAUGGAGGGAAGGUCAAGAGGAUAGAUGGAGGGAAGGUCAAGAGGAUAGAUGGAGGGAAGGUCAAGUGGAUAGAUGGAGGGAAGUUUAAGAGGAUAGAAUGAUGGAUGAAAGGGAAAGAAGGAGGGAGGGAGAACAAGGUAAGGACAGACAACAAACAGCAUGACAAAAACAGCCUCCUGACAUGCUAGUAAAAGGAGAAGUGUGGCUUUGUUCCAGACUGUUGUGUGUGUGUGUGUUCUCUGGAGCAGAGCCCAGUGUUCUGACAUGUGUUUCUGUUUAUUAAUGAGUCUGGAGGCGCUGCCAAUGAAUGAUGAGUUUCCUUUCUCUCUCCCUCUGUUCUCCUUUUCUCUGUCCUCUCUUUCUCUGUCUCUCUCUCUCUCUUUGACCUCUUUCUCUCUCUCUGUGUCACACACACCCACAUGCACACACACACAUGCACACACAAUCUUGUACAGCUAACCUUGUGGGGAUACACAAUUCAGUUCCAUUCAAAGUUCUAUUUUCCCUAAUCCCUAAAUGAAACCCUAACCCUAACCUUAACCCAAAAACCGAACCUUAACUCUAACCCUAAAACUAACCUCAGCUCCUAACCGUAAGCCUUAACGUAAUUCUAACCCUAACACUAAUUCUAACCUUAAUCAUAAACCCCUUAGAAAUAGCAUUUGAACUUGUGGGGACAAACAAAAUAUCCACAGUUGGUCACAUUUUUGUUGUUUACAAUUCUUGUGGGGACUUCUGUUAAACACGUCCACACCCACACACACACUACAUCCCAGCGCCUGACCCUCAGCACGCCAUAAAUCUGACUUCAAGGGCGGUGUCGGCGUUGGCGAGAACAGGAUAUGAGAGCGUGGCCCUCUCAAAAUCUUCCCCUCCAGAUGAGAACAAAAUGUAGAGAAUGUUCCAGAUGCCGCGGCCGCUACAGUCUAGGAACAUGUGGAGCCAAGAGCUGGAAAACGAGCAGCCCUUCCUAUCUUUUCCCCCUUCUUUCCAUGCAUUUUCUCUCUGUUGUCUAACUUAUCCGUCUCUGUUUUUGGGCUGUUGGUAGGCUAGCUUUUUGUUUCGUACUGUUAUCUCUUUGAUAGUGUCUCCUUAUCUUGUUAUCUUGUCACUCUCCUCUUCCUUCCACUUCUGUCUAGCAUCUUAAAACACACACACACACACACAUUGAGGUAGAGACAAACACACACACACACACACACACAAACACACACACACACACACACAUUGAGGUAAACACACACACACACAUUGAGACAAACACACACACACACACAAACACACACACACACACACACAUUGAGGUAGAGACAAACAUACACACACACACACACACACAUUGAGGUAGAGACAAACACACACACACACACACACACACAUUGAGGUAGAGACAAACAAACACACACACACACACACACACACACAUUGAGGUAGAGACAAACACACACACACACACACACACAUUGAGGUAGAGACAAACACACACACACACACACACAUUGAGGUAGAGACAAACACACACACACACAAACAUACAUAUGUACAAACACACAAAGACAGAGUGACACACACACACACACACACAUUGAGGUAGAGACAAACACACACACACACACAUACAUAUGUACAAACACACAAAGACAGAGUGACACACACACACACAUCCCUCAGACAGGAUUAUCCCACUCUCACAAGUUGAUCCUCUCUGGCAAGCACUGCCAGUCCCCUCUGAGCAUGGAACAGAAGCACUACUGUCAGGGCAGAGCUGUGACCUAGAGAGUAGUAUGUCUGUGUGUGUGUGUGGGUCUCUGUUUGUGUGUGUGUAUCCCUCUGUGUGUUUGUGUGUGUGUGUCUCCCGUUGUUUGUUUGGGUGUGUCAGGUCACAGGCCAAGGUCUCCAACCUGAUCCGCUCUGAGGCAAUCGGCCUGCGAGUGCAUUAAGAGAUUGCGGGGGGGACGCCGAGCCGAGGCUCACUGGCUCGACUUAAAGACAUACACAUAAUCCUGGCUGCUCUGCUGUGGUCUGCUCCACCUGACAAGGAUAAGUGUGGCAGGUGUGUCUGUCAGGGACUGUGUGUGUGUGUGUGUGUGUGUGUGUGUGUGUGUGUGUGUGUUUGUGCGUAUCCUCUCUGAGCUGUACCCCACCUACGCCCUCUCAGGCGUGCCCCUGUCCUUGGACACCCUUACCCGCCCUAGAGUCACUUCAUCUGCCAACUGGAUAAAGAGAGAGAGAGAUAAGGAGGGGUACACAGAGAGAGGGAGAGCGAGACAGAGAGCGAGACAGAGGUAGUCAGACAGACGGAGGGAGAGAGGGAACCAGCCAGUAGAGAGACGUGACAGGACAGAGGUUACCCCACACCCUGAUGUCAUCCUUCCCAGCCUGACCACACAAAGCAUGGUCAGUUAGCUAUAGUCACAAAGCACACCAACACUUAACCAUGCAUUUAAACUAUGGACGCUUGAGAUCUGCAAGUGUACGGUAUGUGUUUAUAAGGUAUGCUACAUAAUUCCACUGUAUGUCACUUGGACUGUGUUCAUUUUGAUAAUAAAUGGAAUUGCACAGAGAGA
Oncorhynchus tshawytscha (Chinook salmon) is the source of this 4250-nucleotide long non-coding RNA. The record is from Ensembl. Lineage: Eukaryota; Metazoa; Chordata; Actinopteri; Salmoniformes; Salmonidae.